Paramuricea clavata is the source of this 121-nucleotide non-coding RNA. NCBI's taxonomy places the organism in Eukaryota, Metazoa, Cnidaria, Anthozoa, Malacalcyonacea, Plexauridae. The record is from the annotation of a GenBank genome assembly.
GUUGUGCUGCCCACGUUGUUCACACUUGUCAACAAUAUUGAACAAUAUUGUUGAGCUCGAAUCGGAUGUAACAAUAUUUAACAAUAUUGGUGACAACUGUGAACAAUGUGGGCAGGACAGU